CCUACGGGAGGCAGCAGUGAGGAAUAUUGGUCAAUGGGCGUGAGCCUGAACCAGCCAAGUCGCGUGAGGGAUGAAGGUUCUAUGGAUCGUAAACCUCUUUUGUCGGGGAGUAAACUGUGCCACGUGUGCUAUUUCGAAUGUACCUUAUGAAUAAGGAUCGGCUAACUCCGUGCCAGCAGCCGCGGUAAUACGGAGGAUGCGAGCGUUAUCCGGAUUUAUUGGGUUUAAAGGGUGCGUAGGCGGCCUUUUAAGUCAGCGGUUAAAGUUGGUGGCUCAACCAUAUACUUGCCGUUGAAACUGGGGGGCUUGAGUAUGUUAGAGGUAGGCGGAAUGCGUGGUGUAGCGGUGAAAUGCUUAGAUAUCACGCAGAACCCCGAUUGCGAAGGCAGCAUGCCAAGGCAUGACUGACGCUCAUGCACGAAAGUGUGGGUAUCGAACAGGAUUAGAUACCCCUGUAGUC
RNAcentral lists this ribosomal RNA (460 nucleotides) under uncultured bacterium. RNAcentral describes it as "partial 16S ribosomal RNA". It matches the Rfam family "Bacterial small subunit ribosomal RNA", at positions 338 to 795 of the family's 1533-position model. The record is from RNAcentral.